This 378-nucleotide long non-coding RNA is filed under the name Pan troglodytes (chimpanzee). RNAcentral's name for it is "long non-coding RNA NONPTRT018588". Lineage: Eukaryota; Metazoa; Chordata; Mammalia; Primates; Hominidae. The record is from RNAcentral.
CUCAGAGCUCAGAGGGACUGGUGGGGGCCCUGAUGCACGGAUGCAGAAGAGAAGCAGAGCCAUCCACUCCUCCGACGAAGGGGAGGACCAGGCUGGCGAUGAAGAUGAAGAUGAUGAAUGGGAUGACUGAGUGGCUGAGUUACUUGCUGCCCUGUGCUCCUCCCCGCAGGACAUGGCUCCCCCUCCACCUGCUCUGUGCCCACCCUCCACUCUCCUCUUCCAGGCCCCCAACCCCCCAUUUCUUCCCCACCAACCCCUCCAAUGCUGUUAUCCCUGCCUGGUCCUCACACUCACCCAACAAUCCCAAGGCCCUUUUUAUACAAAAAUUCUCAGUUCUCUUCACUCAAGGAUUUUUAAAGAAAAAUAAAAGAAUUGUCU